Molecule: ribosomal RNA, 497 nt
Filed under: uncultured bacterium
Lineage: Bacteria
Description: partial 16S ribosomal RNA
Rfam family: Bacterial small subunit ribosomal RNA
Source: RNAcentral
GAUGAACGCUGGCGGCGUGCCUAAUACAUGCAAGUCGAGCGAACAGACGAGGAGCUUGCUCCUCUGACGUUAGCGGCGGACGGGUGAGUAACACGUGGAUAACCUACCUAUAAGACUGGGAUAACUUCGGGAAACCGGAGCUAAUACCGGAUAAUAUAUUGAACCGCAUGGUUCAAUAGUGAAAGACGGUUUUGCUGUCACUUAUAGAUGGAUCCGCGCCGCAUUAGCUAGUUGGUAAGGUAACGGCUUACCAAGGCAACGAUGCGUAGCCGACCUGAGAGGGUGAUAGGCCACACUGGAACUGAGCCACGGUCCAGACUCCUACGGGAGGCAGCAGUAGGGAAUCUUCCGCAAUGGGCGAAAGCCUGACGGAGCAACGCCGCGUGAGUGAUGAAGGUCUUCGGAUCGUAAAACUCUGUUAUUAGGGAAGAACAAAUGUGUAAGUAACUAUGCACGUCUUGACGGUACCUAAUCAGAAAGCCCCGGCUAACUACGUG